Populus trichocarpa (black cottonwood) is the source of this 998-nucleotide long non-coding RNA. RefSeq lists it as uncharacterized. The transcript is spliced from 5 exons. The record is from RefSeq and is a predicted model, not a curated record. Lineage: Eukaryota; Viridiplantae; Streptophyta; Magnoliopsida; Malpighiales; Salicaceae.
UGCAAAAUUUACGUUGAAUUUAGCAACGGAUUAUCCGUUGCUAAUUGAAAAAAAAAAUUAAAAUGUUAAUAUAAAACUAAAAUUAUGUAGACCGUUGAUUGCAUAAAAUCUGAACUGUUUAUUUUCACUCUCUCCCCCCACACCAAAAUACAGAUCCAACAACCAUUUACGCUAAAAAUUAAUUCACUUCCACUCUUCCAGUAUCCUUCUUCGUCCCCAAUAACAUCGAUUCCUAACUGUUCAAAAAUCACCCUCUCUUCAUCGAUUUCAUCUUCCUUUACCCGAAACUGUUCAUCAUCUUCGCACUCGUCUUCAGCAACCCUAUUUUUUUUCUUCAUCUUCUUCUCCUUCAUCUAACAGUUUCAAUAUUUCUCUGCAAACCAACAAAAACAGAGACCCAUGGCAACAUCGCACCAGAUCCAUCAUCAUCACCAUCGAACAUCCUGUUUUACCCCUUCUCUGUAAACGGGUUAGGUUUUGCACUGUUUUCUUCGAUAGCUCAGGUGUUAUUCUGUCGUGUUGAUCCAUCUCCCUCACCUGUAACUGAAGAACACAGGUUUUUAAGCGUGGCAUCAAGUUAUCUUCCUCAAUAAUUAAUCAGCCUUUGGGUUCUUCUUGGCACGAAAGCGGAGCAGUGGAUUUCAAGUAGCAUCCACUCAUCGGCCAUGUACAAAAGGAACUGCCACAUUAGAGAACUGACCUUGAUGGAACUCAGUACAAUCUCUUACUGUUAGACAGUGAAGGAAUAGAUGCCUAUGAUCAAACACAAUAUGAAUGGCUUAUUGGAUCACAAUAUGCUACAUCUGAUUGGGUUGUAAUAAGAAAACCUCCACCUUGUGCCAUUGAUUCUUGGGGCUUAGGUAAGUCUAUUUUGCUCCAUUUUUACAUGGUUGUUUAAUUAUAUCGUGCGUAAUUUUUCUGUUGGGCAUGCCUAUUGUAAUCUUUUCAAGUAGUUGGAACUUUGCCUUUCAUUGGGACAAUAUUGACAGUUUGUAUAA